Molecule: long non-coding RNA, 467 nt
Filed under: Paramuricea clavata
Lineage: Eukaryota; Metazoa; Cnidaria; Anthozoa; Malacalcyonacea; Plexauridae
Source: RNAcentral
UGUCGACCGAACUGCGCAUGCGUUGCCAAAAGCAAAACAAAUUGUUUGAAAUAUUUUAUUGUUUCGUCUAUAAAAUGAUGAUUUUUUCGGGGUUUUGGUGGAAAUGUUGACGUUCUUCAUAGUGGGAUACAAAAGGUGUGUUAGCGACUGAAUAAGGAAAAUAUUGCGUGUGAAACAGGGUCAGUAUAGAGCCGGCAGGAGCCGCGAAGAGUGCUGUUGUCGAAGAAAAAUGUCACAAUUAAUUGUAAUCUUGUCCAUUCUGGCCUCUGUGCCAGUUUGAAAAAGCUUUAAAUGUAGAGACAUUUGUGGUUUCUCCAGCAUAAUUUAGCCGUUUAACGCUAUUAUGUUUCUAAUGGUUGAAAGAGCGCGUGGAAAGGGCAAUUUUCAAGAACAAAAACAAUUACAAAUUAUGUACUGUGUGUUAAUUCACUUAAUUGCUACUGUAAUAUUAAAAUACCUGAAGAGAG